Molecule: ribosomal RNA, 428 nt
Filed under: uncultured bacterium
Lineage: Bacteria
Description: partial 16S ribosomal RNA
Rfam family: Bacterial small subunit ribosomal RNA
Source: RNAcentral
AUUAGGAAUCUUGCGCAAUGGGCGAAAGCCUGACGCAGCGACGCCGCGUGACUGAUGAAGUCCUUCGGGAUGUAAAAGUCUUUUGCCAGGGAAGAAGGAUGUGACGGUACCUGGCGAAUAAGCCCCGGCUAACUACGUGCCAGCAGCCGCGGUAAUACGUAGGGGGCGAGCGUUGUCCGAAGUCACUGGGCGUAAAGCGCGCGUAGGCGGUCUUUUAAGUUGGAUGUGAAAUCCUGCGGCCCAACCGCAGAACUGCAUCCAAAACUGGGAGACUUGAGGAUGGAAGAGGGCAGUGGAAUUCCUGGUGUAGCGGUGAAAUGCGUAGAUAUCAGGAGGAACACCCGUGGCGAAGGCGGCUGCCUGGUCCAUAUCUGACGCUGAGGUGCGAAAGCUAGGGGAGCGAACGGGAUUAGAAACCCCAGUAGUCC